UGUCCGGAAUUAUUGGGCGUAAAGAGCUCGUAGGCGGUUUGUCGCGUCUGCUGUGAAAACCCGAGGCUCAACCUCGGGCCUGCAGUGGGUACGGGCAGACUAGAGUGCGGUAGGGGAGAAUGGAAUUCCUGGUGUAGCGGUGGAAUGCGCAGAUAUCAGGAGGAACACCGAUGGCGAAGGCAGUUCUCUGGGCCGUUACUGACGCUGAGGAGCGAAAGCGUGGGGAGCGAACAGGAUUAGAUACCCUGGUAGUCAAGGGCG
Molecule: ribosomal RNA, 261 nt
Filed under: uncultured Actinomycetales bacterium
Lineage: Bacteria; Bacillati; Actinomycetota; Actinomycetes; Actinomycetales
Description: partial 16S ribosomal RNA
Rfam family: Bacterial small subunit ribosomal RNA
Source: RNAcentral